This 464-nucleotide ribosomal RNA is filed under the name Vreelandella stevensii. Its description in RNAcentral is "partial 16S ribosomal RNA". It matches the Rfam family "Bacterial small subunit ribosomal RNA", at positions 339 to 795 of the family's 1533-position model. Lineage: Bacteria; Pseudomonadati; Pseudomonadota; Gammaproteobacteria; Oceanospirillales; Halomonadaceae. The record is from RNAcentral.
UUACGGGUGGCAGCAGUGGGGAAUAUUGGACAAUGGGCGAAAGCCUGAUCCAGCCAUGCCGCGUGUGUGAAGAAGGCCUUCGGGUUGUAAAGCACUUUCAGUGGGGAAGAAAGCCUUGGGGCUAAUACCCUCGAGGAAGGACAUCACCCACAGAAGAAGCACCGGCUAACUCCGUGCCAGCAGCCGCGGUAAUACGGAGGGUGCGAGCGUUAAUCGGAAUUACUGGGCGUAAAGCGCGCGUAGGCGGUCUGAUAAGCCGGUUGUGAAAGCCCCGGGCUCAACCUGGGAACGGCAUCCGGAACUGUCAGGCUAGAGUGCAGGAGAGGAAGGUAGAAUUCCCGGUGUAGCGGUGAAAUGCGUAGAGAUCGGGAGGAAUACCAGUGGCGAAGGCGGCCUUCUGGACUGACACUGACGCUGAGGUGCGAAAGCGUGGGUAGCAAACAGGAUUAGAUACCCGAGUAGUC